UGAGGAAUAUUGGUCAAUGGGCGAGAGCCUGAACCAGCCAAAUCGCGUGCAGGACGACUGCCCUAUGGGUUGUAAACUGCUUUUAUACAGGAAUAAAGUGUGGUACGUGUACCAUUUUGUAUGUACUGUAAGAAUAAGGAUCGGCUAACUCCGUGCCAGCAGCCGCGGUAAUACGGAGGAUUCGAGCGUUAUCCGGAUUUAUUGGGUUUAAAGGGUGCGUAGGCGGACUGAUAAGUUAGUGGUGAAAGUUUGCAGCUUAACUGUAAAAUUGCCGUUAAAACUGAUAGUCUUGAGUGUAAUAGAGGUAGGCGGAAUGUGUUGUGUAGCGGUGAAAUGCUUAGAUAUGACACAGAACACCGAUUGCGAAGGCAGCUUACUAUAAUACAACUGACGCUGAGGCACGAAAGCGUGGGGAUCAAACAGGAUUA
This 428-nucleotide ribosomal RNA is filed under the name uncultured bacterium. Its description in RNAcentral is "bacterial SSU rRNA". It matches the Rfam family "Bacterial small subunit ribosomal RNA", at positions 355 to 780 of the family's 1533-position model. The record is from RNAcentral.